RNAcentral lists this long non-coding RNA (476 nucleotides) under Homo sapiens (human). RNAcentral's name for it is "HSALNT0342727". Lineage: Eukaryota; Metazoa; Chordata; Mammalia; Primates; Hominidae. The record is from RNAcentral.
CUCCCUGGAGAGUUCAGUCAUCUCUUCUGGAGCAAGUCACCUAGCAGCAGUGAACCUCCAUUUCUUUAUCUCAAAAAUGGGAGUCAAUAAUCCCUGCCUUAUUGAUGUCACUGGAUUGUCAUAAAAAUGACAUCAUUAUGUAAAGGUCUUUGUAACCUGCCACGUACUCUAUAAUGAUGAGAUACUCCUUAUAUUAAACCAAAGAAAGAAAUGACUCUGCUAAAGAUGGAAUUUUAGACAUCAAAUUAGAACUGAGAGACACUCAAAGAUUCUGGACUGUCUUCUGAGCAGAGAAUAAAAAGUAGCUAUCAUCUGCCCACCACAGACAUGAAAAAACAAGAAAGACAGUUUGCAGAGAGGAGAGAAUGAAACAGGACUGUAGAGAGAAGCAGAGACAAGAAAUGGAUCUUCCCAUCUCGUCAUGAGCUUCCACUUCCAGACCCUGUACUCAGUGGAUCAGCUGGCACCACGCAGAU